Molecule: ribosomal RNA, 253 nt
Filed under: uncultured bacterium
Lineage: Bacteria
Description: partial 16S ribosomal RNA
Rfam family: Bacterial small subunit ribosomal RNA
Source: RNAcentral
GACGUAGGGGGCAAGCGUUGUCCGGAUUUAUUGGGCGUAAAGAGCGUGUAGGCGGCCUGGAAGGUCAGCUGUGAAAACUCGAGGCUCAACCUCGAGACGUCGGUUGAAACCACCUGGCUAGAGUCCGGAAGAGGAGUGUGGAAUUCCCGGUGUAGCGGUGAAAUGCGCAGAUAUCGGGAAGAACACCCGUGGCGAAGGCGGCACUCUGGGACGGUACUGACGCUGAGACGCGAAAGCGUGGGGAGCGAACAGG